RNAcentral lists this ribosomal RNA (157 nucleotides) under Meloidogyne enterolobii. Its description in RNAcentral is "5.8S ribosomal RNA". It matches the Rfam family "5.8S ribosomal RNA". Rfam says of the family: 5.8S ribosomal RNA (5.8S rRNA) is a component of the large subunit of the eukaryotic ribosome. It is transcribed by RNA polymerase I as part of the 45S precursor that also contains 18S and 28S rRNA. The record is from RNAcentral. Lineage: Eukaryota; Metazoa; Nematoda; Chromadorea; Rhabditida; Meloidogynidae.
CCUAGCCUUUCCGGUGGAUCACUAGGCUCGUGGAUCGAUGAAAAACGCAGCAAACUGCGAUAAGUUUUGCGAACUGCAGCAGCCUUGAGCAUAAAAGUUUUGAACGCAUAUUGCCGCAUAGGGGUCAAACCCUUUGCUAUGUCUGGUUCAGGGUCAU